Long non-coding RNA from Paramacrobiotus metropolitanus, 582 nucleotides. RefSeq lists it as uncharacterized. The record is from RefSeq and is a predicted model, not a curated record. Lineage: Eukaryota; Metazoa; Tardigrada; Eutardigrada; Parachela; Macrobiotidae. The transcript is spliced from 4 exons.
GUUGCUGUUUUGAGUUCUGUCUUUGUCUUUUUAAGUAAUUUAUGAAAUUAUUCUGUUGAUCAUCUUUAAUCAAACGGCUCUCAGAAAGUUGGAUGGAUCUUUAAUCAAACGGCUCUCAGAAAGUUGGAUGUGGUACUCGCGAUUAUGACGAUCGUCACCGUAACGUUUUGCAAGCUAGAAUGGGAUUACAAAAAACGAACCGACACCGCAUACGUUAUGGCCACCCCCAAUCCCCAAAGCGUCCACAUACGGAGCGGUCCACAAUCCCGGCCAGUCCAUGGUACGCUCAGCCAGAUCCGUGAAGUACGGUUUCAUGUUGUUGAUCAGAUCUUCCCCAUCGGUCAGGCGCAUCAUCACACCAUUAUUGGAGCACGACAGAUUUCCGGGAAAGACUUCGCCCUCAUCAACAGUCAAAAAACUGAAAAUCCGUGCCUGCAAAACAUUGUAAACUGUGUUCCAGUUUUAACAGGAUCCCACACUUUGGUCCAAUUAUAACGGCACACCGGGCCCGGAACAUCUGCACGUUAUCCCAAUGUAAAUAUUUCGGUAGCUUUAUACGUUCUAAAUAAAUUUCGUACAGCC